This is a small nucleolar RNA of Telopea speciosissima, 107 nucleotides long. The record is from RefSeq and is a predicted model, not a curated record. NCBI's taxonomy places the organism in Eukaryota, Viridiplantae, Streptophyta, Magnoliopsida, Proteales, Proteaceae.
ACAACAUGAUGGGGACACUUUCUAAUCAGGUCCUUAAGUCUUUCCUAGGUCUCAUGAAAUUGCUCACCAUCAAUUUGCGAAAAGCUAGUGAUGGCUUGCCUAAUUUG